CCUAAAUAGCAUGCAAGUGGAAGCUUUGACCUCAACAAUUGUAUUUGACCUCUGAAGAUGGAAAAAAGCUACAAGAGAUCAGCCUAGAAACUAAAACUAAGGAAGAAGAAAUGAAGUGUAAUAUUUAAGGAGCAAGAAGGAAGCAGUAUUUUCUUGGUGGUACAUGCUGAAUUUUUAAGAGCUAAUGGAUAUUUUUCUUUAACUGACAAAAAAGAUGAGUUUGUUUUUCUUUGGGUUUCCUAGCAACUUUUUCUGAAUAUUUUAUUGUGAGCCUUUCAGGCACAAGAAACUUAUCUUUAUGCAUCUAUAACUUUAGUAUUAUGAAAAAGAAGCAAAUAUCUUUCAAAAUUAUUACCCACAUUUGGUUAUAACUGUUUUAGAAAGUGAAAUAUGUAUUCACUUGCACCCUCCCACUGCUCCCCCCUCCCAUAUAAUGAAGAGCUGAAUCAGCGAAUAGUGAACGAACACUCAAGAUGAGAUGGCUGCUGCUGAUGUCUCUCUCUAGGUCAUUACCUCUUUUCCAACUGAAAAUGCUGCAUGAUAAGCUUACAGAAGCCAUUGGCAACUUCAGCAAGAUACUGGAGAUGGAACUUUUUAUUUGGAAUAUUCCAUUUGGACAGUGCUCACAUAAAACAGACUAACACCUGGAUGAAGACUGUAAUGGCAACUCAACUUUGAAGUGGAGUGCAACUUGCCAUAUCAUGAAGAAUUUUGUACAAACAUUUAGUGAAAUUAUAUUGCUCUUCAUCUGCAAGCAUAUUAUAGCAAGAAGCAGCAGCAGACACGUGGGCAAGUACUUGAAACCAUCUUGACAAUAAUGAAUUUGAAUAUGCUUUAUAUCUACUGUACAGAAAUCAUACCAAGUUUAGCCUAAUCAAUAAAUGUACAUUUGUAUAAAAAUACAAUAAACAUGGAUCCUGGACCUAAUUAGGAACAUGCAUCUUAUACCUUAAAAUAAUGUGCUGUGAGGAAAAUUCUUUUCAGCUUCAUCCUGCGGAUAGCUGAACCACUACUAAAACUUGCCCAGAGCACAUACUUCUUUAUGUACCCAUAUGAAAAUACAGUGCUAUGGAAUGUAAAGAAGUAUGUAUUUUUGGCAGGUGUGAACUACCAGUAACAGAAACUGAAGUAAACUCUUCCUGAAAUGAAUUUUCUUUGAUCUGGAAGCAAAACAUUUAUAAUUUGUAAAUUUACAAAAAAUAUUUGGCAAAAAUGUGUAGAGUAUUGAAUGUAUUUGUUAGUAAUACAACUUUGUUCAGAUAUACAGUUUAUGUUCUAUGAAUUCCAAAUAUAAGAAUGUAAAAUCAAAUUGGAAUAGCAAUCAUAUACAAAGUUUGUGUGUAAAAAUUGCUACUAACAAUUUCUGGAUAAUGACAGCUCUGAUUGCCUGAUCAGACUUAAACAUUUUUGGCUAGCAAUCUUUACUGAAGCUUUUAAACAUGUUUCUGAUCUGUAACAAUCAUGAGACAAAGAAGUGAAACAUGAAUGUUGAUAGCACAGCUAUUAGUUGAUUUGAAACGAAUCAACAAAAAAAUUUAACUAUUCAAAAAUAUUACAAUCUCUAAAGUGAUUUUUUUGUUUAGAAAUGAAGCUAAAUUAGAGUUGACCGUCACAGUGAAAAACUCAAAAUGAUCCUCAGAUGUCCCAAAACUUCUCUCACAAGCCCAUAAUUUUUAUUCAAAUCCAUAAAGAACAUUCCAGCAUAAUGCAAAUCAGCUAAACAACAGUAAGUACUGCUACUGUGAUUUUAUAGACCUCUUACUCCCAAGUAUCUCAGGACCCAAAGCAAGCAACAAUAUUCAAAUAAUAAACUGAACAAAAUAUUUUUUUAAAACAGAUACAAAAUAUAUUAAAACCAUGUCAACACCAAUCUAAAACCUCUGUGACUCACCAGCGGGAUAUCCCGCCCCCCCUUUCCCAUGCUGACUGCCCCAAAAGCUCUCAAGAAUAAUUCUAGGUAGGAAGCCAUGUUGGUCUGCAGGAAAACAACAGGAUUUGAGUCUAGAGGCACCUUAGAGACCAACAAGGUUUUCAGGGUGUAAGCUUUCAAGAGUCAAGGGAGCUUUGACUCCUGGCAAGCUUAUACCCUGAAAAUCUUGUUGGUCUCUAAGGAGCCACUAGACUCAAAUCCAUCUGGAAUAAUCCAGCUGAUAUAAAAAAAAACCCUCUUGAUUUCUUUUAGGAAGCUGUUACACAAACAUGGAACAGUCACUGAAAAAGCCCAAGUCCAGACUGUUGCAGAAUGUGCCAGGACAAAGGGAAUACCGGUUCACAGAAUCAGCAUUGCUGUUAGAUGACCAUCUACCCUCUGCUUAAAAACCUCCAAAGGAGAGCCCACCACCUCCCAAGGAAACCUGUUCCACUGAAGGACCACUCUAUCAGGAAAUUCUAUGGACUCUUCUUACCUUUCCCCUACGUCCAUUGCCACCAUCCUGAUCUUCCCAUUGCCAGUCAACUCCUCGAACCACCCUGGCACCUGUGAA
Eublepharis macularius is the source of this 2483-nucleotide long non-coding RNA. RefSeq lists it as uncharacterized. The record is from RefSeq and is a predicted model, not a curated record. Lineage: Eukaryota; Metazoa; Chordata; Lepidosauria; Squamata; Eublepharidae. The transcript is spliced from 3 exons.